This 245-nucleotide unclassified non-coding RNA is filed under the name Hevea brasiliensis (rubber tree). The record is from RNAcentral. Lineage: Eukaryota; Viridiplantae; Streptophyta; Magnoliopsida; Malpighiales; Euphorbiaceae.
GGGAUUUGGAAACUGAUCACGUUACAUGCUGCUUUCCAGUGUUCAAUGGAGAAGCUCUGAAGCUUUGGGUGUAGGUUAGGCCUUCGGGUUUCUUCUUGCGCCUCCCUUGUGAAGAUGAGCGGCAGUGAGAUGUUAGGAUGGCGAGGUCGUUGAGAUCUUGUAGUGGAGUCAGAAUCUUCACGACUUCGUCCAUGGUUGGACGUAGUUUUGGGUCCCUGCUGAGGCAACUGCAAGCAAGCUGCGAG